CGAACCACGACGGGAGAGCUCGCCCCGGUCCUCGACCGGGGCGGCGCCGAAGGAGCAAGUCCUCCCCGGGAAUCUCUCAGGCCCACGUACCGUCGCGGCGAG
This 102-nucleotide non-coding RNA is filed under the name Cellulosimicrobium sp. CUA-896. Its description in RNAcentral is "Glycine riboswitch aptamer". It matches the Rfam family "Glycine riboswitch aptamer". From Rfam's summary of the family: This family represents the bacterial glycine riboswitch. Glycine riboswitches usually consist of two metabolite-binding aptamers domains with similar structures in tandem. The record is from Rfam by way of RNAcentral. Lineage: Bacteria; Bacillati; Actinomycetota; Actinomycetes; Micrococcales; Promicromonosporaceae. RNAcentral also lists the same sequence under 1 other name.